CAAACACAUGCUUUACCCUACACAGAUGCACCAUCUGGUUACAUAAGCACUCACUCGAUAGCGUGAGAAGGGAUGGACAGCAUGUACAUAUGGGCAUAACCACAUGACACAUAAAAUAGGUCGUCAAUCACUUCUCGACCCGUGCCGUGUACUUUACUCUCUCUGGUGAAUAUGAAAGUGAAAUCUCUUUUUCUGUCUGGGACUUGCACUGUCUCUCCUCGUGUCGUAACAAUAUGCUGCAUACCAGUCUGACAAGCUCUGCCAGUUUAACACUGCCUGCCUGUCUGUCUGUCCACAAGAUGUCUGCUUCACCUGCUAUCUACCACCCCAUCAGACACUGAAGGACCAGGAGCUAGGGGCUUACAGCCUGCUGCUCCUCCAUGGAUCCAGGACAAUUCAUGAAUGGCUUCUACUGCCACUAUAAGUUUUACCAUUUCUUCUCAAUUUGCUUUGGACUGGGUUGUGGAAUGGCAGUCUACCGACCAUAUCACCACAUUUUGACCCCGGCACUUCUGUCUGUGAUUUCCACUCUUAUAUUUGAAUUUGUGGGCAUGCUCUCUGAUCUGCCAGCUCACACUAAAA
This is a long non-coding RNA of Salvelinus sp. IW2-2015, 582 nucleotides long. RefSeq lists it as uncharacterized. NCBI's taxonomy places the organism in Eukaryota, Metazoa, Chordata, Actinopteri, Salmoniformes, Salmonidae. The record is from RefSeq and is a predicted model, not a curated record.